CGCUUCAGGUUAAAGUUUUUGGUCAAGGUAGUUUUUGAAGAAGUUGAAGUCUAAUCAACUUGAAACUUAGUACACAUGUUCCCUAUUAUAUGAUCUUUCUAAUUUUAAUUCCAAAUUAAAGUUUUGACCCUAAUUUCACGGUCCACUGAACAUAAAAAAUGAUAGUGCGAGUGGGGCAUCCGUGUACUUGGGACACAUUCUUGUUGUCAAUCUUUUCUUGGCUUCUAUGCAGGCCUCGACAAUAACGCUUGUCCGAUUGUCCGGUACCAGAGGUAAAAAAGGUCGGAAAAGUAAAAGCUAUACCAAGCUUGUCCGAUGGGACAAGUAGAAUCAUUCUGCAGAAAAUAAAUUUUAAUCCAACUUUGAUGAACAAAGUAUAAUUAUUAACAAAAAAACAAGAAAAGAAGAUUUGUUUGACAUCUUUCCUUUUUAAACUGAAACUAAUUGAAACUUUUUAUUUCUCAAGACCCCUCAGAAUUGCAAUCGAUAUUAAUUUAAAACUGGUUCUUUGUCAAGUACUUUUAACAGGUAAAAAGCACACUUUUCUCGGAAACCAGUCUUACCGAUCCCAUUAAACCAUGCGCUUUUUAUAUAAGGUAACUUUAAAAGACAGUUCGUCACCAGCUCGGAAAUGAUUCGGCUCCAAGUUUAAAGGGAAACUUCGCAAAAAAAUAAAAAAUUGAUAUAAUGUCCAUUCUGUAUAAAAAUUCUCAAAUUUAUAGAUAUUAAAGUUUUAUUCCGCUAGAUAACAGAUCACCAUCAAUUUUAAAUUUUGAGUAUCAAUUCUCUGUGUUCCGCCA
RNAcentral lists this long non-coding RNA (800 nucleotides) under Mytilus galloprovincialis (Mediterranean mussel). The record is from RNAcentral. Lineage: Eukaryota; Metazoa; Mollusca; Bivalvia; Mytilida; Mytilidae.